GAUGAAGAACGCAGCGAAAUGCGAUAAGUAAUGUGAAUUGCAGAAUUCAGUGAAUCAUCGAAUCUUUGAACGCACCUUGCGCCCUUUGGCAUUCCGAAGGGCAUGCCUGUUUGAGUAUCAUGAACACCUCAACUCUUCAUGGUUUUCCAUGAUGAGCUUGGACUUUGGGGGUCUUGCUGGCCUGCGGUCGGCUCCUCUCAAAUGAAUCAGCUUACCAGUGUUUGGUGGGCAUCACAGGUGUGAUAACUAUCUGCGCUUGUGGUUUUCCACCAAGUAACCUUCAGCAGUGGAGGUUCACUGGAGCUCACAGACGUCUCUCCUCAGUGAGGACAGCCCUUUGAAUGUUUGAUCUCAGAUCAGGUAGGACUACCCGCUGAACUUAAGCAUAUCAAUAAGCGGAGGA
RNAcentral lists this unclassified non-coding RNA (403 nucleotides) under soil metagenome. Its description in RNAcentral is "partial contains 5.8S ribosomal RNA, internal transcribed spacer 2, and large subunit ribosomal RNA". The stretch from base 1 to 120 matches the Rfam family "5.8S ribosomal RNA", at positions 35 to 154 of the family's 154-position model. The record is from RNAcentral.